ACUCCUACGGGAGGCAGCAGUGGGGAAUAUUGCACAAUGGGGGAAACCCUGAUGCAGCCAUGCCGCGUGUGUGAAGAAGGCCUUGGGUUGUAAAGCACUUUCAGUAGGGAGGAAGGUAGUGUAGUUAACACCUGCAUUAUUUGUACGUUACCUACAGAAGAAGCACCGGCUAACUCCGUGCCAGCAGCCGCGGUAAGUACGGAGGGUGCGAGCGUUAAUCGGAAUUACGUGGGCGUAAAGCGCAUGCAGGCGGCCUGUUAAGUCAGAUGUGAAAGCCCGGGGCGUUAACCUCGGAAUUGCAUUUGAAACUGGCAGGCUAGAGUCUUGUAGAGGGGUUAGAAUUUCAGGUGUAGCGGUGAAAUGCGUAGAGAUCUGAAGGAAUACCGAGUGGCGAAGGCGG
Molecule: ribosomal RNA, 400 nt
Filed under: uncultured bacterium
Lineage: Bacteria
Description: bacterial SSU rRNA
Rfam family: Bacterial small subunit ribosomal RNA
Source: RNAcentral